GGAGUUAGCCGGUGCUUCUUCUGCGAGUAACGUCACAGAUGUAAGGUAUUAACUUACACCCUUUCCUCCUCGCUGAAAGUGCUUUACAACCCGAAGGCCUUCUUCACACACGCGGCAUGGCUGCAUCAGGGUUUCCCCCAUUGUGCAAUAUUCCCCACUGCUGCCUCCCGUAGGAGUCUGGGCCGUGUCUCAGUCCCAGUGUGGCUGAUCAUCCUCUCAGACCAGCUAGGGAUCGUCGCCUAGGUGAGCCUUUACCUCACCUACUAGCUAAUCCCACCUGGGCUUAUCCAUCAGCGCAAGGCCCGAAGGUCCACUGCUUUCCCCCGUAGGGCGUAUGCGGUAUUAGCAGUCGUUUCCAACUGUUAUCCCCACAAAUGGGCAAAUUCCCAGGCAUUACUCACCCGUCCGCCGCUCGUCAUCUUCAAAAGCAAGCUUUUGAAAUGUUACCGCUCGACUUGCAUGUGUUAGGCCUGCCGCCAGCGUUCAAUCUGAGCCAGAAUCAAACUCUGA
This 510-nucleotide ribosomal RNA is filed under the name uncultured bacterium. RNAcentral's name for it is "partial 16S ribosomal RNA". The record is from RNAcentral.